Molecule: long non-coding RNA, 2307 nt
Filed under: Mytilus galloprovincialis (Mediterranean mussel)
Lineage: Eukaryota; Metazoa; Mollusca; Bivalvia; Mytilida; Mytilidae
Source: RNAcentral
AUUCUAGAGACAUUAAAUGGUAUAUGAUGGUAUAUAUGAUUAUGGAGGGAAAAAAUUGCAGCGGGGGUUUGACUUUGGAAUAUUCAAAAUGGCCGCCGUUACCAUGGGAACAGCAAAAUUAUGAAAAACUUCAAAAUGCUUUAAAUUUAUAAAACUUAAAACAAAUUUUGCCUAGCUUAUGUAGACUUAACUUUUGAGUUUCGAAUUUUCAAAAUGGCCGCCGUUGCCAUGGAAACAGUUAUAAUUUUCUGAAUGGCUGCCGCUGGCCUGGCAAUGGGGGAAGGGUGCCAUCCGCUAUUGCUUGCAAUCGCAAAUCUAGUUAUUAUUAUUAUGGCACCCUAAACGGAGUUUGGGUGACAUAUUGUUAUUCUACGUUUCUUUUUGUUAUGGCACCCUCAACGGAGUUGGGGUGACGUAUUGUUAUUCUACGUUUCUUUUUUUUCUUAUUAUUAUUUUUCUUCUUGCAACAAAUUUUGUCCAGGUGAUUUCUCGAAAUCCAAUGGACCAAUGUUGAUGGAACUCUUCUAUAGUAAGGACCCCCAUGUGCAGAGUUGCAGUAAGCAUGGAAUGGUUCAAGAUGGCUACCGUUUCCAUGGAAACAGAACAAAUGUGAAAAAAUCCAGUUUUUUGUUUUGGUGAACUGUUUGGAUAUGCUUUAACUCAGAAACAUUAUAUUUUAAUACAAUGUAGGUGCCCACUAUAUACAGGUGUUGGAUGAUUUUGGCACUCAUUGGAACUACUAUGUUGCCAUGGAAACUACACCAAAAAUUUCAAAAAAUAUCAAAAUGCUCAAAAAACUUCAUGAAACUUCACAGUAACGAUGAGCAACAUUGGAAGAUGUGGAAUUUGGCGUUGGAAUUUCCAAAAUAUCUGUUGUUACCUUGGAAACAAUGCAAAAAGGUCAAAACUUUGAAUUUUCACAGAACAUUCCAGAACAUCAAUGUUAAAUUUAUUCUAGAGACAUUAAAUGGUAUAUGAUUAUGGAGGGAAAAAAUUGCAGCAGGGGUUUGACUUUGGAAUAUUCAAAAAUGGCCGCCGUUACCAUGGAAACAGCAAAAAUUUGAAAAACUUCAAAAUGCUUUAAAUUUAAUGAAACUUAUAACAAAUGUUGCCUAGCUUAUGUAGACUUGACUUUUGAGUUUGGAAUUUUCAAAAUGGCCGCCGUUACCAUGGAAACAGCAAAAAAUCCAAAAUUUCAAAAUGCUUCAAACUUAAUGAAACUUUGCAAAAAUGUUACUAGACAUCUGUAGAUGCACUAUUUGACUUUGGAAUUUUCAAACUGGCUGCCGCUCACCUGGCAAUGGGGGAAGGGUGCCAUCCGUUAUUGCUAGCAAUUACAAAUCUAGUUUUCUUUAUUUUUAUUAUUAUUUUUCUUCCACACAUUUUUGUCCAGUCUGGAACUCUAAUGUGAAUGGACCCAAGAAGAUGGAACUAUACCAUAAUGUUAACCACCAGAUGAAGAUUUGCUUUUUGGGGUUGGCACUUUCAAGAUGGCUGCCGUCACCAUGGAAACGGAACAAAUGUGAAAAAAUCCAGUUUUUGUUUUGGUGAACUGUUUGGAUAUGCUUUAACUCAGAAUCAUUAUAUUUUAAUACAAUGUAGGUGCCCACUAUAUACAGGUGUUGGAUGAUUUUGGCACUCAUUGGAACUACUAUGUUGCCAUGGAAACUACACCAAAAAUUUCAAAAAUAUCAAAAUGCUCCAAACUUCAUGAAACUUCACAGUAACGAUGAGCAACAUUGGAAGAUGUGGAAUUUGGCGUUGGAAUUUCCAAAAUAUCUGUUGUUACCAUGGAAACAAUGCAAAAAGGUCAAAACUUUGAAUUUUCACAGAACAUUCCAGAACAUCAAUGUUAAAUUUAUUCUAGAGACAUUAAAUGGUAUAUAUGAUUAUGGAGGGAAAAAAUUGCAGCGGGGGACAAUAUAUGGAUAGUUCAAAAUGGCCGCCGUUGUCAUGGAAACUGGGGCCAAGUUUUGCAUUGACCCUAUGGAAAAAUGCAUAAAAUCAGCAUUUUCUCAGAGAGUAGUGCACCAAAGUAAAUGAAACUGUAUUGAUAUAUAACAUGACAUGUGGCAAUGAGAUGUCUGCUUUUAGAAUUUUGGAAUUAUCUACUGUAACCAUGGUUGCAGCACAAAUGUUCAAAAUUUCAAAAAAAAAUUAAGUGCUGCAAACUGGAUGAAACUUUAUAGGAAUAGUAACUUGCAUGUGCGGAGUUGCAUUUUGAAGUUGGAAUUUCCAAAAUGGCCGCCGUAACCAUGGAAACAGCAAAAUUGUCCAAAAUUUCAAAAUGCUUCAAACUUAAUGAAA